Molecule: RNA transcript, 1531 nt
Organism: Folsomia candida
Lineage: Eukaryota; Metazoa; Arthropoda; Collembola; Entomobryomorpha; Isotomidae
Exons: 5
Source: RefSeq, a predicted model, not a curated record
ACAUUUAAAUGGUCGUGGACGUUGAAAUGAUUCUACGAUUCUACGCUUUACAUAUGUCCAGGAAUUGUCGUAGAUUGUAUGCAAAGUGAGCAUCAGGCGGAUUAUUUCUGUAAAUCCAAUCACAUUACGAUAAAAGAAUCCGAUAAGCUGUAUUAUCUGUAAACGCAAGUAGCCAGAAACUGCUUGAUGAUAUAUAUGAUCAUCAGGCUUAACUAUGUGCUUAUCUUCUUUCUAAAUUCCAUGCGAUUUAUUAAUAUACCUGUAAAUGGAUGUCUACUAUCCGGGCACCCAAUACUUGUUAGAUACCACCAUUCAACCCAAAUAACAGUAUCUAUAUAACCCUUCCAACGCAAUCUGUAUUUUUUAUUGGCACGCCUAUAGUAACCAGUGUACAAUCGGUAUCGUAGCAGAAACCACAAUACAAAUAUUUUGUUCAGUGUCGCAUCCUAACAAAUUACUUUUCAAAUGUCUUCCAAGGAAAUUUAUAUGCAGUCGAUUUCUCAAGAAGACCAACUACUCAAUCAUGUCCUGCAUCUACCAACCCAUCCUCUCAUCGUGUUGGAUGACGAAUUGGGAGCAUUUUAUAUUAAAAGAUCCGGACCGACAACGAGGUACGCGUCUGAUGCCGAGGACCACCAAAUGUUUUCCUACAGUGAACAAGUAGUUGCGAACCUUGACAUCGCACGAGCUAUCACGAUGAUGUUUACGGACAACAAAGGCAUCGAGUUUGUCACGGCGACCUAUGAUUUGUCGGGCAGCAAUAUUCGGAGUGGGAGCACUUCACUGGGCGUGUUCGCUUCAAGGUAUCGCCACACGCCUCUGCCAUACACCGCAUUGGGAAGAAAUUGGGCUUUUUGCGGUGCGCAGACUCUUACCGUGAAUAUCACGGGAGGUGGAACUGUGACAAUGAAAAAGGUUAAAGUUUCUUGCUGGGGAUGCUGUUUUUUUGCCUGUUGUUGCAGAGGGUCUUACGAGAUAUUAGUUAAUGGGGAGAAGGUCGGGUCAUGGGGUCGUGAUGGGGAAGGGGAUGCACCUCUCGUCACGUUCUCGCCAACGUUAGACCCCAGAUUGAAAGGAAUCAUUAUCGUGCUAUCGUUCAUUUUGUUCAAUAUCCACUAUUAAAAAUGUCGGCGAUCUGGCAGCCCAUCUAUUGAAUUACAUAUUAUUUAAUUACUGUAAUUAAACAUACGAAUAGGAAAAUGUCAACAUCUGCGGAUUUCACAUCAGGAUUAUCUAAAAAAUAUAUUCUGGAAGGCAGUGGUCAUGGAGUUGAUAUCGAUAUGGAACGCUGUAAUAUUGGGAUGCUGUUUCCUCACACUCGCAUGUGGCAAGGGAUUCACAGCACACAGACCCGAAUAAAUUUUUGCAUUGGUCAGUAAAUGGAAGGCAAUUCUCAUGCAACUCUGUUAAAUAUUGAACACAAUUUGGGGGGUUUGGGUUUUAAAAGUAGUAGAAUCGUAGUUUGCGAACCACAGGCUGUGGUUCAAGCAUUAAUCCGUCAGAUACAUAAUCACAAGACUUAGUUAUAACA